Molecule: ribosomal RNA, 432 nt
Filed under: uncultured bacterium
Lineage: Bacteria
Description: partial 16S ribosomal RNA
Rfam family: Bacterial small subunit ribosomal RNA
Source: RNAcentral
AACGAACGCUGGCGGCAUGCCUAACACAUGCAAGUCGAACGAGACCUUCGGGUCUAGUGGCGCACGGGUGCGUAACGCGUGGGAACCUGCCCUUAGGUUCGGAAUAACUCCCCGAAAGGGGUGCUAAUACCGGAUAAUGUCUUCGGACCAAAGAUUUAUCGCCUUUGGAUGGGCCCGCGUUGGAUUAGCUAGUUGGUAGGGUAAAAGCCUACCAAGGCGACGAUCCAUAGCUGGUCUGAGAGGAUGAUCAGCCACACUGGGACUGAGACACGGCCGAGACUAGUGAGGAAGGCAGCAGGGGGGCAGAUGAGAAGAGGGGCUGAAGUCUGAUCCAGCAAUUCUGGGUGAGUGAUAAAGGCCUUAGGGUUGUAAAGCUCUUGUACGCGCUAUGAUGAGGAAAGUAGCGGGUGAGUAGGCUCCGGCUGACUACGU